GAUGAACGCUGGCGGCGUGCCUAAUACAUGCAAGUCGAGCGAACAGACGAGGAGCUUGCUCCUCUGACGUUAGCGGCGGACGGGUGAGUAGCACGUGGAUAACCUACCUAUAAGACUGGGAUAACUUCGGGAAACCGGAGCUAAUACCGGAUAAUAUAUUGAACCGCAUGGUUCAAUAGUGAAAGACGGUUUUGCUGUCACUUAUAGAUGGAUCCGCGCCGCAUUAGCUAGUUGGUAAGGUAACGGCUUACCAAGGCGACGAUGCGUAGCCGACCUGAGAGGGUGAUCGGCCACACUGGAACUGAGACACGGUCCAGACUCCUACGGGAGGCAGCAGUAGGGAAUCUGCCGCAAUGGGCGAAAGCCUGACGGAGCAACGCCGCGUGAGUGAUGAAGGUCUUCGGAUCGUAAAACUCUGUUAUUAGGGAAGAACAAAUGUGUAGUAACUAUGCACGUCUUGACGGUACCUAAUCAGAAAGCCACGGCUAACUACGUG
RNAcentral lists this ribosomal RNA (496 nucleotides) under uncultured bacterium. Its description in RNAcentral is "partial 16S ribosomal RNA". It matches the Rfam family "Bacterial small subunit ribosomal RNA", at positions 28 to 507 of the family's 1533-position model. The record is from RNAcentral.